Molecule: ribosomal RNA, 78 nt
Filed under: Cryptosporidium sp.
Lineage: Eukaryota; Apicomplexa; Conoidasida; Eucoccidiorida; Cryptosporidiidae
Description: partial small subunit ribosomal RNA
Source: RNAcentral
GGNUCGAGAUGAUCAGAUACCGUCGUAGUCUUAACCAUAAACUAUGCCGACUAGAGAUUGGAAGGUUGUUCCUUACUC